RNAcentral lists this ribosomal RNA (484 nucleotides) under uncultured bacterium. Its description in RNAcentral is "partial 16S ribosomal RNA". It matches the Rfam family "Bacterial small subunit ribosomal RNA", at positions 30 to 507 of the family's 1533-position model. The record is from RNAcentral.
AUUGAACGCUGGCGGCAGGCCUAACACAUGCAAGUCGAGCGGAUGAAGGGAGCUUGCUCCUGGAUUCAGCGGCGGACGGGUGAGUAAUGCCUAGGAAUCUGCCUGGUAGUGGGGGAUAACGUCCGGAAACGGGCGCUAAUACCGCAUACGUCCUGAGGGAGAAAGUGGGGGAUCUUCGGACCUCACGCUAUCAGAUGAGCCUAGGUCGGAUUAGCUAGUUGGUGGGGUAAAGGCCUACCAAGGCGACGAUCCGUAACUGGUCUGAGAGGAUGAUCAGUCACACUGGAACUGAGACACGGUCCAGACUCCUACGGGAGGCAGCAGUGGGGAAUAUUGGACAAAGGGCGAAAGCCUGAUCCAGCCAUGCCGCGUGUGUGAAGAAGGUCCUCGGAUUGUAAAGCACUUUAAGUUGGGAGGAAGGGCAGUAAGUUAAUACCUUGCUGUUUUGACGUUACCAACAGAAUAAGCACCGGCUAACUUCGUG